UACGGAGGGUGCAAGCGUUAAUCGGAAUUACUGGGCGUAAAGGGUGCGUAGGUGGUUGUGUAAGUUAUCUGUGAAAUCCCCGGGCUCAACCUGGGCAGGUCAGAUAAAACUGCAUGACUCGAGUAUAAGAGAGGGUAGUGGAAUUUCCGGUGUAGCGGUGAAAUGCGUAGAGAUCGGAAGGAACACCAGUGGCGAAGGCGGCUACCUGGCUUAAUACUGACACUGAGGCACGAAAGCGUGGGGAGCAAACAGG
RNAcentral lists this ribosomal RNA (253 nucleotides) under uncultured bacterium. Its description in RNAcentral is "partial 16S ribosomal RNA". It matches the Rfam family "Bacterial small subunit ribosomal RNA", at positions 524 to 776 of the family's 1533-position model. The record is from RNAcentral.